AUCCAGCUAACGAGUCCCAAAUAGGACGAAACGCGCGUCAUGGAU
This is a non-coding RNA of Schistosoma mattheei, 45 nucleotides long. The record is from Rfam. Lineage: Eukaryota; Metazoa; Platyhelminthes; Trematoda; Strigeidida; Schistosomatidae.